This 74-nucleotide transfer RNA is filed under the name Microcanthus strigatus (stripey). Its description in RNAcentral is "tRNA-Leu". It matches the Rfam family "tRNA". Rfam says of the family: Transfer RNA (tRNA) molecules are approximately 80 nucleotides in length. Lineage: Eukaryota; Metazoa; Chordata; Actinopteri; Centrarchiformes; Kyphosidae. The record is from RNAcentral.
AUUGGUGUGGCAGAGCCCGGUGUAUGUGAAAGAUCUAAACUUUUUCGACAGAGGUUCAAAUCCUCUCCCCAAUU